This 972-nucleotide long non-coding RNA is filed under the name Homo sapiens (human). Its description in RNAcentral is "non-protein coding lnc-RPL13-4:4". Lineage: Eukaryota; Metazoa; Chordata; Mammalia; Primates; Hominidae. The record is from RNAcentral.
ACAGAACAUCCCGUCACCCGCUGACACAGAACAUCUCACCCGUCACACGGAACAUCCCGUCACCCGCUGACACAGAACAUCUCACCCGUCACACGGAACAUCCCGUCACCCGCUGACACGGAACAUCUCCCCCAUCACACGGAACAUCCCAUCACCUGCAGACACAGAACAUCCCAUCACCCGUCACACGGAACAUCCCAUCACCCAUCACACAGAACAUCUCACCCAUCACACGGAACAUCUCACCCAUCACACGGAACAUCCCGUCACCCGCUGACACAGAACAUCUCACCCGUCACACGGAACAUCCCAUCACCCGUCACAUGGAACAUCCCAUCACCCAUCACACGGAACAUCUCACCCAUCACACGGAACAUCCCGUCACCCGCUGACACGGAACAUCUCACCUGUCACACGGAACAUCCCAUCACCCGUCACAUGGAACAUCCCAUCACCCAUCACACGGAACAUCUCACCUGUCACACGGAACAUCCCGUCACCCGCUGACACAGAACAUCUCACCCAUCACACGGAACAUCCCAUCACCCGCUGACACAGAACAUCUCACCCGUCACACGGAACAUCCCGUCACCUGUAACACGGAACAUCCCGUCACCCAUCACACGGAACAUCCCAUCACCCGUCACACGGAACAUGCCAUCACCCGUCACACGGAACAUCCCGUCACCUGUCACACGGAACAUCCCAUCACCCGUCACAUGGAACAUCUCACCAAUCACACAGAACAUCUCACCCAUCACAUGGAACAUCCCGUCACCCGUCACACGGAACAUUCCGUCUCCCGCUGACACGGAAUAUCUGAUCACCCAUCACAUGGAACAUCCCAUCACCCACUCACACGGAACAUCCGAUCACCCGUCACACGGAACAUCCUGUCACCAGUCACACAGAACAUCCCGUCACCCAUCACACGGAACAUCCCAUCACCCGUCACACGGAACAUCCCGUCAC